This 301-nucleotide ribosomal RNA is filed under the name Haemophilus influenzae. RNAcentral describes it as "partial 23S ribosomal RNA". It matches the Rfam family "Bacterial large subunit ribosomal RNA", at positions 2638 to 2925 of the family's 2925-position model. The record is from RNAcentral. Lineage: Bacteria; Pseudomonadati; Pseudomonadota; Gammaproteobacteria; Pasteurellales; Pasteurellaceae.
CUAUCUGCCGUGGGCGUAGGAUGAUUGAUUGGGGCUGCUCCUAGUACGAGAGGACCGGAGUGGACGCAUCACUGGUGUUCCGGUUGUCUCGCCAGAGGCAUUGCUGGGUAGCUAAAUGCGGAAGAGAUAAGUGCUGAAAGCAUCUAAGCACGAAACUUGCCAAGAGAUGAGUCAUCCCUGACUUUAAGUCAGUAAGGGUUGUUGUAGACUACGACGUAGAUAGGUCUGGUGUGUAAGUGUAGUGAUACAUUGAGCUAACAGAUACUAAUUGCCCGAGAGGCUUAACUAUACAACGCUCAAG